GGCAUGGUGGCCAAGUGGUAAGGCAUUGGCCUUGUAAAACACAGCUCAUGGGUUCAAACCCCAUCCAUGCCU
Monopterus albus (swamp eel) is the source of this 72-nucleotide non-coding RNA. Lineage: Eukaryota; Metazoa; Chordata; Actinopteri; Synbranchiformes; Synbranchidae. The record is from the annotation of a RefSeq genome assembly.